ACGUUUUGGUAUUGAGGCGGUCAUCCUAAAUUAACAGGCACUGACUGGGGAGAAUCUACCGCUGUGCAGAGCACGUCGCGGUCUCCUGCAACAACUGAACAUGGCCUCGCCCUGCUACACAAUACCAAACG
Salmonella enterica subsp. enterica serovar Mbandaka is the source of this 131-nucleotide non-coding RNA. The record is from Rfam. NCBI's taxonomy places the organism in Bacteria, Pseudomonadati, Pseudomonadota, Gammaproteobacteria, Enterobacterales, Enterobacteriaceae.